This 397-nucleotide ribosomal RNA is filed under the name uncultured bacterium. Its description in RNAcentral is "partial 16S ribosomal RNA". It matches the Rfam family "Bacterial small subunit ribosomal RNA", at positions 523 to 918 of the family's 1533-position model. The record is from RNAcentral.
CUACGUAGGGGGCGAGCGUUGUCCGGAAUGAUUGGGCGUAAAGGGCGCGUAGGCGGCCGCUUAAGUCUGGAGUGAAAGUCCUGUUUUCAAGAUGGGAAUUGCUUUGGAUACUGGGGGGCUUGAGUGCAGGAGAGGUUAUCGGAAUUCCCGGUGUAGCGGUGAAAUGCGUAGAGAUCGGGAGGAACACCAGUGGCGAAGGCGGGUAACUGGACUGCAACUGACGCUGAGGCGCGAAAGUGUGGGGAGCAAACAGGAUUAGAUACCCUGGUAGUCCACACUGUAAACGAUGAAUGCUAGGUGUAGGGGGUAUCGACCCCUUCUGUGCCGCAGUAAACACAAUAAGCAUUCCGCCUGGGGAGUACGGCCGCAAGGUUGAAACUCAAAUGAAUUGACGGGG